AACACCACCGAGUUUCACAGGCUGUUCUAAAGCUCCUCAGUGCGGGCUGAUGGCAUCUCACCAAAAUGCGGUGCAAUAAAAGCAAAUCCUUGAAGAGUGGAAACCUUGCAGCCAGGUUCAUGCCUUCUCUUUUCUCCAUCCAUACAGGAAGGGCUCAAGAAUAUUGCUGUGCUACGGUGCUUCUGCAGGCAGGUUCACCAUCUGUGUAACUGUGGCUACCACCUUCCAUCUUGAACUCAGACACAGACCUCUCCUCCGAGCUCCAGAUCCAUAUAUCCAAUCUCCUUCUCAAUAGUCACUUGCAAGUCUCAGCCAUUUCAAAGUCAACCCAAAGUGGUAAUCUUCAAAUCUUUCCCAUUUCAACAAGUGACACCACCAUCCACUAAUUGUAAAAGUCAGAAACCUGGAUGCCAUCUUUGCUCCACUGUGAGAGGCUGCUCACACCACCCCCUACAUGCCCUGAGGAGUCUCCAGGGGCACCCACAGCCUCCUCUGGCUUUCUCUGGGUGACCCAGGGAGGGCUAGGCCCUGUGAGCCACACCGGGGCAGCAGCACUCACCAGCUCACAAGUGCUUCCCUCUUCUGCCUUUGCUGACAACAGUCCCCCAGGCCUUCCAUUCUCCUUCCGAUGAGGCUGAUGUAUUCUGUUGCAGUUGGAUGCACCUACAAAAAUCCUCUUCAAAAUCCCAUCACUUCACCACCAAGGAAUUACUAAAAUACCAUGAAGGAGGUGCUCAAAGGCGAUAUGGGGCAGAGGAAGGAAUAAGUGCCUGACCCUCUGCCCCUUCUCUCCUGCAGCCCCAUAUGUUCUUGGCACAAGAGGGCUACAGAAAUCCAAUAACAUCUUCGGAACCCGUCCAGAUUUGACAGAGCCAUCUGUGAAAAGCUGCUUGCCAGGGUGGGAGUGGCAGGGCAUGCUGUGGCUAUAGAUUUAGGGUCAAGGCAGACUGCCAGAGGGGUGGGGCAACCAAAAGGAGGGGACAUUGAGGCAGACAGUGGUGAGGGGUGGGGACAUGUGGAUGGAACGAGAUGGCCAUGGACUCUCCUGUUGUGACCACUUAAAACAGGUAGAAAUACGCCCCGAGGUGGGUAAAGUGCACAGCCGACUGCCAGGAGGGACAUGGGGCACAUAAUCUGAACUUAAACCCUUGUAGCCCUGGGAUUCUACUGAAAAUCCACCCUUGGACAGAGUUUCAAAACAGACAUUCAGCAAAGAAGGAUGCAUUAAGAUCUCAGGUUCAUCCUAAGGCCCAUGGAAGCACACCAGGCCUCCAGGGCCUGGGAAAAGACAAUAGCAGAGCUCUGAACAUGGACAAAGCUACAACACAGUAAGAAGAUUACAAUAUUUUUCCAGGCUAUCAUGAUUUUGCACCAUUUUAUGGUUUUCAGCCAACAUAACUCAUUAAAUGUGUAACAAAGAGUA
Molecule: long non-coding RNA, 1423 nt
Filed under: Homo sapiens (human)
Lineage: Eukaryota; Metazoa; Chordata; Mammalia; Primates; Hominidae
Description: HSALNT0314820
Source: RNAcentral